This 2644-nucleotide small RNA is filed under the name Rattus norvegicus (Norway rat). Its description in RNAcentral is "uncharacterized LOC108352208". The record is from RNAcentral. Lineage: Eukaryota; Metazoa; Chordata; Mammalia; Rodentia; Muridae.
AACCUUGGCAUUCAAGGCAGAGAUCGCCAGGCAAGCAUCAGGCCAGACACUGGGAGUUAUCCUGAGAGCCUGGCCGCACGCUGACAGGGCCCCCCUUUGGGGACAGAAUUCCAAUUGCGGGCCGCGGCUGCCGCCUGGGAGAGGACGCUGCGCUCCGCCUCCGAGAGAAGGAAGAAGCAGGAAUGCAGGGGCUUCUGUGGGCUCCGUGCUUCCAGCCUUCUGGGAGAGAGAGGAAGACCCUUGGGCUCAGAACGAGCCGGUCUUCCUAGCUAGCCUCCGGCAAGGCUUCUAGAAGGGGAGGCUUGUCAGAGGAGCAGGACAGAUAGGGGUUGGGGACAUGGAAAGUUUUUAGCCUUUUUAUUUAAACUGCCGGGGGUCUUCUACUUCAGGUAAUGAGCUAUUCCCAGAGGAAAGCAAACUUGAUCCCCUAUCUCCAUUAAUGGAAGGAAAGUGGAUACUUAACUGCAUGUGGCCAGUGAGAUGCUGGCAAGGGUUUUUGCACCAAUGUGGGCUCCAGGGUCACAUCCAUGUGGGGGUCUCUAUGGGAGAGAUGAUGAAAAGGAAGGGAGCAAUUUUAGAACCACAGGGUCUCCCUCUGCAGGCUGGAGGGGGACACUCCAGAGUAGAGAGAAGACCUUUUAGAGAUAGAAGAAUCAGUGUGCCCACAGGAGCCCCAGAGAAAGAGCAACAAGUAUCCCCCACCCCCAUAUGGCUGUCAGGACUUUUUUGUGUUUAACAAAGGAAGACAGCUGGGUGCCCUGUAGGACUGGUUGAAUUCCAUUCUGUGUAAGGUGUGUGUGUGUGUGUGUGUGUGUGUGUGUGUGUGUGUGUGUGUGUGUGUGUGUGUUCUGUCCCAGGAUCUGCCAGAUGGAAUCACAGCUGGAGCUGUAGGUAAGAGAGAGGACAGGCUCUGGUUGGUCUUCUACCUCCUGCUUCCUAAAAAUCCCUUGUAAGUCAGGCCCCUGCUGGCUGAUAGGUGUGGCUUGCCAAGGAUCAAGUGGCUGGCAUCAGGGAUAAAUUCUCAUCAGGGUGAAAGGAAUUGUAAGUUAGAGUAGCCAACUUGAGCCACUUGGCCAAGCUGGGGCAGAGCCACACAGAGGCAAAUGUCUUGGAGAGCGAAGCUGGCAUCUCCAGGGCCUGCCAGGCUUAAGAAGGUGGAGAAAGGCGAAGCUGACAUCAUGCUCUUCUAGGCCAAUGGCCAUUCUGAGAUGGCGUUCUGACCCAUCCAGAUUCCUGCAAAGCCAGAUCCACUGAGAUGGUUCCCAGAAAGCAGUCUGAGGUGACAUGUGGAACAUGACCUUGUCAGUUUAUCAAUCGUGAAUGAUAUGACAUGACAGAAGGCAAAUGAUCAAGACUGGGGAGCCUUGUGCCUUUGCUAACCCAGAGUCCUGGUCUCAACAGGGCAUAGGCUUGUAAACCAGAGGGACCAAAACCAAGUCACCUUAGCAAGUGAACAUUCUUGAUUUUAUUGCCAUCCUACAGAUGAGAAAACUCCGCCACAAUGAACUGUUGUGUCCAAAUCACGGGACCAGUGAAAUGAGAGCUGGGACUUCAUCUGGACACUAUGUUGGCUUGGGGAAAGCAAGAGAGAACAAAAUACAUUGACCAACCUCAUGGCUCAAGGAAGGUGACUGGGGAACCAUUUAAAACUUACCAGGAUCUUAUUUGCCUCCGGAACUGCAUAUCUAAAAGCCAAGGUCAAACACACUCUGCCUUCUCUUCUGCUUCCUGUGCAUGACCCCAAAGAUGACCUCAGAGUGGACGAGGAACUGCCGGUAAUUAUGCUGGGACCCUUGCCGCAAUGCCUGCUUCCAGAGCUACAGCUGCGCUCCAGAGAGAUCAUUAGUCGGUAUGCACAUGUUAUUGAGGGCAGUGGUGUCAUCGCCGGUUGAAGAUGCCCUCAGUCAAGUGUGAGAGCCGGAAAUGGAGGUCAAAAUAAUUAACCUCCUGUGAUUUUGUGCUCCUUGCAAAAUCAACCAUGUGCAGCUCAUAUUUCAGCAGAACAAUAUAAUCAUUUGUUCACAAGUCUCUCUCUUUCUCCCUUCCUCCCUCACUCGUCUUUCCUCCUUUCUGUCUCUCAAUCCAUCUCAUUGGCUAGCUUUUCUGUAUUCCCUUCCCACCCUAACAGCAGGCUGUCAUAACCCACUGCACCCAUAGGCAUCGCUGGAUAGGGCUUAGUACCCUCACCCAUUGCUGUCACACCGACUCUCUAAAGAACAGCAGAACGUGUUCCCUUUGUAAAAGCUUCUCUUGACCCCAUUUCAGUUCACCCACUCUCUCCUGCACCACACAGGAAUUAUGCAUCACUGUAGGAGUCACAGCCAAAGCAUCCACCAUCCACUCUACUUACGGAACACUCCUACCUGGCUGGUGGCAGCAUUACAAGGGGCCAGCCUGGGGUUGUAGAAAAGUCCAUGUGCAGAGAGGAGCUAAGGGUAUUUGCCAAGUUGUAAAGAACAAGAUGUUGAAUGAGGUGCCCUUCAGAGUGUGGGGUGUCUGAGCCUUCAUUCUGUUCCCUCAUUCAGCCAGCCAUCCUUUUCAUCCAGCAAUGUAUGCUAAAUGUUGAUCGCAUGGUAUAGGAUUCUCCACUGUGUGCAUUUUGUAACUGGUGUGAACCAUUUUAUUAAUUAAAGAUGUCAUUAUA